Molecule: long non-coding RNA, 397 nt
Filed under: Nicotiana benthamiana
Lineage: Eukaryota; Viridiplantae; Streptophyta; Magnoliopsida; Solanales; Solanaceae
Description: long non-coding RNA (NBEN_LNC014647)
Source: RNAcentral
GUGACAAUGACCACUGUUGGAUAUGGGGACCUUGUGCCGGAUAGUACAACUUCUAAACUGCUUGCUUCCGUCUUUGUUUUCUCCGGGAUGGCCCUUGUCGGACUGGUUUUAAGUGAAGGAGCAGAUUACCUAGUGGAGAAGCAGGAAACACUAUUAAUCAAAGCAAUGCAUGUCCGUCGUAAAGUUAGUCCAAGUGAAAUUCUAAAAGAAAUUGAAACAAACAAAUUAAGGUACAAGUGCCUUGUCAUCAUGGUCUCUCUUGUGGUGCUAAUGGUUGUUGGAACGGUGUUCCUUGCCAAGGUAGAAAAGUUAAGUACCAUUGAUGCCUUUUAUUGUGUCUGUUCUACCAUCACAACCUUAGGAUAUGGAGACAAAAGCUUCUCAACAAGAGCGGGGC